This is a non-coding RNA of Caenorhabditis elegans, 21 nucleotides long. The record is from Ensembl. Lineage: Eukaryota; Metazoa; Nematoda; Chromadorea; Rhabditida; Rhabditidae.
UAUCAUGUCGAGUUCGUGCAU